Molecule: ribosomal RNA, 481 nt
Filed under: uncultured bacterium
Lineage: Bacteria
Description: bacterial SSU rRNA
Rfam family: Bacterial small subunit ribosomal RNA
Source: RNAcentral
GAUGAACGCUAGCGGGAGGCCUAACACAUGCAAGCCGAGCGGUAGAGAUUCUUCGGGAUCUUGAGAGCGGCGUACGGGUGCGUAACACGUGUGCAACCUGCCUUUAUCUAGGGGAUAGCCUUUCGAAAGGAAGAUUAAUACCCUAUAAUAUAUUGAUUGGCAUCAAUUGAUAUUGAAAACUCCGGUGGAUAGAGAUGGGCACGCGCAAGAUUAGAUAGUUGGUGAGGUAACGGCUUACCAUGGCGACGAUGGGUAGGGGUCCUGAGAGGGAGAUCCCCCACACUGGUACUGAGACACGGACCAGACUCCUACGGGAGCAGCAGUGAGGAAUAUUGGACAAUGGGCGCAAGCCUGAUCCAGCCAUGCCGCGUGCAGGAUGACGGUCCUAUGGAUUGUAAACUGCUUUUGUACAGGAAGAAACACUCCCUCGUGAGGGAGCUUGACGGUACUGUAAGAAUAAAGGGAUCGGCUAAACUCCGUG